CUACGUGCCAGCAGCCGCGGUAAUACGUAUGUCACAAGCGUUAUCCGGAUUUAUUGGGCGUAAAGCGCGUCUAGGUGGUUAUGUAAGUCUGAUGUGAAAAUGCAGGGCUCAACUCUGUAUUGCGUUGGAAACUGUGUAACUAGAGUACUGGAGAGAUAAGCGGAACUACAAGUGUAGAGGUGAAAUUCGUAGAUAUUUGUAGGAAUGCCGAUGGGGAAGCCAGCUUACUGGACAGAUACUGACGCUAAAGCGCGAAAGCGUGGGUAGCAAACAGGAUUAGAUACCCUGGUAGUCCACGCCGUAAACGAUGAUUACUAGGUGUUGGGGGUCGAACCUCAGCGCCCAAGCUAACGCGAUAAGUAAUCCGCCUGGGGAGUACGUACGCAAGUAUGAAACUCAAAGGAAUUGACGGGGACCCGCACAAGCGGUGGAGCAUGUGGUUUAAUUCGACGCAACGCGAGGAACCUUACCAGCGUUUGACAUC
Molecule: ribosomal RNA, 484 nt
Filed under: uncultured bacterium
Lineage: Bacteria
Description: bacterial SSU rRNA
Rfam family: Bacterial small subunit ribosomal RNA
Source: RNAcentral